UUGGAGGGCAAGUCUGGUGCCAGCAGCCGCGGUAAUUCCAGCUCCAAUAGCGUAUAUUGAAGUUGUUGCAGUUAAAAAGCUCGUAGUUGAAUUUCGGGAUCAAAUUGUCGGUCGUGCCUCGGUACGCACUGGUAUUAUUGGUUCCCACCUUCUGAAGAACCGCGAUGUCAUUAAUUUGGUGUCGUGGGGAAUCAGGACUGUUACUUUGAAAAAAUUAGAGUGUUUAAAGCAGGCUUACGCUUGAAUACAUUAGCAUGGAAUAAUGAAAUAGGACGUUUGAUUCUAUUUUGUUGGUUUCUAGGAUUGACGUAAUGAUUAAUAGGGAUAGUUGGGGGCAUUAGUAUUCAAUUGUCAGAGGUGAAAUUCUUGGAUUUAUUGAAGACUAACUACUGCGAAAGCAUUUGCCAAGGAUGUUUUCAUUAAUCAAGAACGAAAGUUAGGGGAUCGAAGACGAUCAGAUACCGUCGUAGUCUUAACCAUAAACUAUGCCGACUAGGAAUCAGACGAUGUUAAUUUUUAAUGACUCGUUUGGCACCUUACGGGAAACCAAAGUGUUUGGGUUC
Molecule: ribosomal RNA, 563 nt
Filed under: uncultured Glomeromycotina
Lineage: Eukaryota; Fungi; Glomeromycota
Description: SSU rRNA
Rfam family: Eukaryotic small subunit ribosomal RNA
Source: RNAcentral